GUCCUGAAGUUUGGCGUACGAGGGGACUUUGGGUGGAAGGUCAUGGAUGGUCACGCAGGAGUCAAGACUGUUGGAGUUCACCUUGUCCAGGAGUCGUCUCUCUGGAGGACUGAGGAGACUCUGCAGUACUCACAUGCAGUGCUGCUCCAUGGAAACCACCCAUCUCAUCACCUGCAUACGAUCUGCACCAGACCUCUCUGCACUGCACAAACACAGCUGGCUGCCAAAGAGACAUUCACCUCCUCCGUUAAAUGCUGUGAUACAGCCAGCAUGUUUUCAAGUAUCCAUGAAAAUUAAAGUUCUUUGGAUAAAUACA
Long non-coding RNA from Solea solea (common sole), 316 nucleotides. RefSeq lists it as uncharacterized. NCBI's taxonomy places the organism in Eukaryota, Metazoa, Chordata, Actinopteri, Pleuronectiformes, Soleidae. The record is from RefSeq and is a predicted model, not a curated record. The transcript has 2 exons.